Molecule: ribosomal RNA, 322 nt
Filed under: uncultured bacterium
Lineage: Bacteria
Description: bacterial SSU rRNA
Rfam family: Bacterial small subunit ribosomal RNA
Source: RNAcentral
AAUGAACGCUGGCGGCGUGCCUAACACAUGCAAGUCGUGCGAGAAAGUCGACUUCGGUCGAUGAGUAGAGCGGCGAACGGGUGAGUAACACGUGGAUAACCUGCCUAGGAGCGGGGGAUAACCUGGGGAAACUCGGGCUAAUACCGCAUACGUUCUCAGCAUCAUGGCGCUGAGAGGAAAGCUGGCCAAUUCUUGAAAGCUAGCACUCCUAGAGGGGUCCGCGCUCGAUUAGCUUGUUGGUGGGGUAAUGGCCUACCAAGGCUGCGAUCGAUAGCCGGCCUGAGAGGGCGAUCGGCCACACUGGGACUGAGACACGGCCCAG